This 253-nucleotide ribosomal RNA is filed under the name uncultured bacterium. RNAcentral describes it as "partial 16S ribosomal RNA". It matches the Rfam family "Bacterial small subunit ribosomal RNA", at positions 524 to 776 of the family's 1533-position model. The record is from RNAcentral.
UACGUAGGGGGCAAGCGUUGUCCGGAAUCAUUGGGCGUAAAGCGCGUGUAGGCGGCUAGGUAAGUCUGCUCUGAAAGCCCGGGGCUCAACCCCGGGAGGCGGGUGGAUACUGUCUAGCUCGAGUCCGGAAGAGGAGUGUGGAAUUCCUGGUGUAGCGGUGAAGUGCGCAGAUAUCAGGAGGAACACCAAUGGCGAAGGCAGCACUCUGGGACGUGACUGACGCUGAGACGCGAAAGCGUGGGGAGCAAACAGG